RNAcentral lists this long non-coding RNA (35451 nucleotides) under Malus domestica (apple). RNAcentral describes it as "long non-coding RNA (MDOM_LNC001070)". The record is from RNAcentral. Lineage: Eukaryota; Viridiplantae; Streptophyta; Magnoliopsida; Rosales; Rosaceae.
ACACCCGCAUCGACUGGAAGGAGACCCCGGAGGCCCACAUCUUCAAGGCAGACCUCCCGGGGAUAAAAAAGGAGGAGGUGAAAGUGGAGGUGGAGGACGGGAGGGUCCUGCAGAUCAGCGGCGAGAGGAGCCGGGAGCAGGAGGAGAAGAACGACAAGUGGCACAGGGUGGAGAGGAGCAGUGGCAAGUUUAUGAGGAGGUUCAGGCUGCCGGAGAACGCGAAGAUUGAUCAGGUGAAGGCAUCGAUGGAGAAUGGGGUCCUGACUGUGACUGUGCCGAAAGAGGAGGAGAAGAAGCCUGCUGUCAAGGCCAUUGACAUUUCCGGCUAAGCUCUUGUGGUGUUAAUUUUUGCUUCUGUGUAUUUCCGAGUAUCUGUGUGUGAGAUGAGUGAUCUGAUGUGUCAAUUUUCAUGUAUGGCUUCUUAUUCUAAAUAUUAUUAUAAAUCUUUAUAAAAGCUGAGUCCAUUUUAUUUUUGAAGAAGUGUCUCUUGGAGAAGAUCUAUUUAAUUUUAUACCACGAAUAUGGAGAUCUACUUACUACGAAUAAGAGUCCUAUGGUGGUCGAAAUUCCUAGCUGCUAUUUGUGGUUUGAUUUGUGAACAAGGUUAUAAUUUCAAAUUUUGAAUUGGUGAUUGUUUCUCUUGGUUUUAGUUUGAGUCUUCGAUCAAUUGAUGUUUUUCUUGAACAUGUGAUUGAUUGAAUAUGAAAGUUUUAAUUUUUUUUGUUUAUGUGGCCGAUUCAAUUUAUUUAUUUAGGUAUAUUUUAUGGAAAAAUUAGUUGUCUGGUUGAUAUGGUUACAAUGUAUAUCAGAUUGCAUGGUUAGUUUUAUUUUGUGUUUUUGAGUCUUAACUCGUUGUAGCAUGACGGUUUGAAACAUUCAGGUUAAGCUUGUUCUUCGGUGAAAUUGGAUUCUAGACCUUCCCUACAAAGAUGUUACCGAUUUUCAUCUUUUCUCAAGAAUACAAGAGAAUAUAUGUGGACAAUUCAACCACAAUGAAGACCAUAUAGAUACUUUAUAAUUUUUUUGUUUUUUGUUUUUUUUUUUUGGUAAACUUGAUAUUAUUCCGGGACAAAGCCGAAGUACAAGGCCAACAAAGAUACAAGAAGCACACAAACUUACAAACUAAACAACCAAAGGUCAAGACCAAAGUACAUUGACAAGCAAAAUGGACCAGCCAAACCAAAGCCCAACCAACAGCGUGGCCCAAAACAAAAAAGAUACGGUCGGAUGUGUGUUUGUUAUCUGCAAGAAACACUGCAUUUGCAAAGCUCCCUGUCGCAAAUUAUCAAAUUGCCGGCUCACCAUCCCGGUUAUCGAACUUAAGGCUUGCGGCAUACAUGUGUAGUGUAGGAUUAAAACUGUAAUUAUAUUAGCUUAUGAAAUUAUUCUAUAUAUAAGCCUAAGUCGUCUAUAGACCUAGUGUAGAUUUUACGAAUUGUGAAAUUGUUGAUUUUAAAAACUACCUAGUUUACGUCGCACACAGGUUUAGUAAUUAAUAAGCUAAUUACAUCAUUCGGUUAAAUACGGGAUAUGUUAACUCGUCGGCCGAAUUUGGUCGGAAAGUAAAAUAUGUUGAUGUGACGUUAGGCAUAUUACUGACUUAUUGAUCUUGCGACCGCGGCCGAGAAAGUAACACGUCUCGAUCUUCACGUUCUAGAGUCUAAAAACAAGGUUGCUAGUUCUGCGAAGUUCAAUAUCAAAUUCAACUUUUAGUGUGCCGAAUUUAGUAACAUGAUAACACCUCACUUCGCCUAAAAAACUGAAAAUAUAACCUCUUCCAACAAGAAGUAAAAAAUUAUUGUCAACCAAAAUUUGGAUAAAUAACUAGUCGGUUUGAAAGUAAUGAUGUUUAUUUAAACAAAAGGUGUUCCUCGUAUUGGGGACAUCAAAGAGACACAAAGAAAAAAUCAUAUUGGGGACAUCAAACCUUCAGUCCUCUCUCACCUACUUGUAAAAUUAGUUUCACAACAUAAUUUAGUAUUUUUUUUUCCUUAAAUACGGUUUUUUUUUUUUUUGAGAAAAAAAUCUAUAUCCAAUUUAACUGAUACUUAAUUUAAUUAAUUUUAUAAUUACCAAUUUGGAUAAAAUAAAAUAAAAUUAAUUAUAAAAAAAAUAAAUCAAUCAAUCAAAAAAGGUUUGUAAGUGCCAACUAUGUUUUGGGCCGAAAGGUACUGUUUGGUACGUAGACGGGAUGGAACGGGACGGAACAGGACAGAACAGAUGAUAUAAAUAUUGAAAAAAAUAAGAAGAAAUUUUGUCAUAAAAUGUUAUAAAUUUGUGUUCCCCGAAUGUGGAACGGGUCGUUCUAGGAGGAAGAGGUGGAACGAAAAUCAACCAAAUUUCAUCCCAUGGACAACCCGUUUCACAAUUUUUAAGCGCAUCAAAUGUGGGACGGUUCGUCCCACGUACCAAAUGGUACCAAAAAGUAACUAAAGGCACUUUCGAGAAGUUGGUGGAAGCUGAUGGAACUCUCUGUUUUUAUUGUUUUUUUCCCUUCUGGAUAGCUGCAGAACUUUCUGUAGUUCUCGGAGAAACCUUCUGUGCCAUCCUAUAUAUAUACAACUCACUCCACAACCCUCCUCAUCAGAUAGAAUUAUCCAAAGCAAUCUAAGCAAAAAUCUCUUGCUCAAAUCCUUCGAAUUCACACCCAGCAAAAACCCAACUCAAACCCACCAUCUAAUGGCUCUCAGUCUCUUUGGCGGACGACGAAGCAACGUCUUCGACCCCUUCUCUCUGGACAUCUGGGACCCUUUCGAGGGCUUCGGCGAUCUGGCCAACAUCCCCUCCUCCGCCCGUGAAACCACCGCCAUCGCCAACACGCGCAUCGACUGGAAGGAGACCCCGAAGGCCCACAUCUUCAAGGUGGACCUCCCGGGGAUAAAAAAAGGAGGAGGUGAAAGUGGAGGUGGAGGACGGGAGGGUCCUGCAGAUCAGCGGCGAGAGGAGCCGGGAGCAGGAGGAGAAGAACGACAAGUGGCACAGGGUGGAGAGGAGCAGUGGCAAGUUUAUGAGGAGGUUCAGGCUGCCGGAGAACGCGAAGAUUGAUCAGGUGAAGGCGGCGAUGGAGAGUGGGGUGCUGACUGUGACUGUGCCGAAAGAGGAGGAGAAGAACCCUGAGGUCAAGGCCAUUGACAUCUCCGGCUAAACUAAAUUCGCAUAACCUCGAUCGGCUACUUUUGAGCUCUGUUUUGGUGUGGUGUUAAGUUCUGCUUGUGUGUAUUUCCGAGUCUCUGUAUGUGAGAUGAGUGAUAUGGUGUGUCAAUUGUCAUGUAUGGGUUCUUCUUCUAAAUAUUAUAAUAAAUCUUUAUAAAAGUUUACAUUAUAUUUCCAAGAAGUGUGUCUGGGAGAAGGUCUAUUUAAUUUGUUUUCCACGAAUAUGAAGAAGAUGACUGUUCACGGCGCGAUUAUCUUGCUCUUAAAGUCUAGAACUUUAACACUUGCGCAUAGAAUUGAUAAAGAUUCUUUCGAUCUUCACACCUGCUAUUGCUAUUAGGAACCAGCUGCUGAGCUGUGACCUACGAAGAUUGCAGAGGAGUAUCAGGCAAAGAAGAAAGUUCGAGAUGUAAAUUUUGUAUGGGAGAAGUACUGCUCAAGUCGACAGUCCAGCAAAGGCGACAUUGAAGACAUCUUACUUACUCCAAGAGCAUAUGGCGAAUGCUCGAAGUUGCUUGAUUAGGACAGGGUCCUAUAGUGGUCGAAAUUCCUAGCUGCUGUUUUUGGUUUAUUUUCAAGGUUAUAUUUUCAACUGUUUUUGGUUUAACUCGUGAUUCGUGAACAAGGUUAUAUUUUCAAAUUUUAAAUUGGUGAUUGUUUCUUUGUUUCUUUUGGUUUUUAGUUUGGAUAUUAAAAGUUUUGUACCGUUUUAAUAUAUGACGUGGAUUGUCUGCCCUUCCACUCUCGUGCCUUCCUGUGCCUUCUUGUUUGUGUGAUCACGGUAGUUAAACCACGUUAACAUUUUAUAUUACUAUUUAUUUUUGUCUUAUUAUUUCUAUAAAAAAAAUAUAAAAUGUUGACGUGUAUGCGCAUACACGUAGACAUUAGACAUGUGUCCAAGUCAUCUUGCAAUUACUUUAUAGGUACAGCGAAAUGAUGAUCGAACCCUAAAUUCUAAACCCUAAAUCCUAGGGAAAAGUAAUUGAUGACAAAAAUACUGAGAAAUAAAAUUGGACUUCCUUCAACUUUCAACCUUCCCUAAGUAGAUAUUGAUAAAGCAGCUUUUUCAACCUUGUAUCGGUCGUAUUCUUGAAUUUGGAAGGAAAAGAGGAGUAAUGCUUCCUAGCAUGGGACAUAGAAUAAGACCUAGAAUAAAACCACUUAGAUUAGAAUAGCAUUCACAUAAAUGUUCUAAAAUAGAGUUAAAUCGAACAUUGAAGAGAUUAGUUGGUCGUUAUUGGGAUGGGUUCAAACAGGAUUGCAAUAAAUAAUAAAAAAUAAAAAAUAAUGAAGGAGCGGAACCUUCAUUUGACUCAAGCCAACCCCAGGUCGGGACGAGACUUUCUUUGUGCUACAAAUUAGUGAAAUUCUAUCUCUUUCGUUACACAACUAAAAAAUGGGCAACAACUCUUGAGUCAAAAGCCUUCUAAGUUAUGCUGAUGAUGAUUAUUUAAACCGUACAAAGCGCGUUUCUAGAACUGUUUAUGUCUUUAUCAUUAGAGAUAUUGCAAUAUUGUGCAUAUCAACCAAACAGGACUUAGUUGCUACGUCUUUCAAUCACACUGAGAUUUUAGCCUGUGCAAAGUAUCGCAUGAAUGAUUUUGGCUAAGGCGCGUGAUUGAUCACAUUAAAACUUUAUGUGAUUUUUCUUACAUCGUUGAUGUUCCAACAACGAUUUAUGAAGACAAUGAUGCGUGUAUCGACUGGUCAUACGCUUGUGUGUUUUAAUAACCACUCUGAAUAUGUGAAAUAUCGAUAUCUUGUAUUAACUCAAUUUUUCUCUGUAAGUCUACUAGUUAUCCCAUAGCAAGGUUUUUAACCGAUAGCUGACAACAACAACCACAUCACCUAAUCACGAAGAAAUGAUGCAGCUACUUCUUAAGUUGUACACACUUAAGUAGGAGUGUUGUGAAUAGAAUCAUUAAUUAGAAAUGUGAUUGUGUAAACUUAAAGUAGAAUUCCACAAGGAUUUGGAGAUCAAAUAAUUAUAGGCUUUGUAUUACUUAUAAGGCAAGAAAACUCAUCAUAAUUAGUGAAGAAAACCCAUCAUAAUUAGUAUUAAAAAGUCACGUGCUAAGGGUGAAUACGCCAUUCUUAUACACAUGAGCCCUUCUUUCAUGUCGUCUCAUUCCUCUCUCACGGUCGCAGGUCUGUUGUCCCUAAUUAUGGUGUCUCCUCUCUAAUUUCUCAACACGUGUACCACCCAUUUCGCCUAAUCUUCACCCCAUUAAAUUUUUAAUAAAACUAAAACCCAAAAACAAAGAAACUAGCAGUGACUAUGUCCUCAUCCACCCCAAUCCAUGCAGUCCCGUGCGCCAGCAACCUAAGCAUUCACCCAUGCUAGCCUCCCCAUGCGCCAGCGGCUACCCUUACUUGUACUUGCCAUCACCAAAAUCCUCUUCCAUCCAAAGGCGGAUUUAUUAAGGGACCUAGGUGGUUUCAGGACCACCCGAAUACUCGGAUAAUUGAAAACUUCCGAGGACCACCCAAGUUUGGGCAGUGAAGGGAAAGAGCAACGAACUGCAUAAUGUUCUAGCUUUUUGCAAACUAGAUGGAAAGAAGAAGAACAAGAAGAAGACCAAUUCUUUUUUAAACGGUAUCCUAGGUCACGUGCUACAAAGUCACAUUAAUCAUUCAAGUAAAGAGUAAUGCUAGGGGGACUAAAUUUGUAAAAAAUAUUUGCAAACUAAAUGAUGUGUCACCAAUAGGAAAUGAGCAUGUUUAUCAAUACUUAAGUAAUAAUCCAAUCAUUAACUUUCAUGUCAUUUAGUUUAUAAAUUUUGUCUAAAAAUUUAGUUUUUCUAGCAUUACUCUUAAAUAAAACGGUGAGCACUGAUGUGGUGUUUGAAAACUCAUUCUAGGUCACGUGGGAGGUUGAGAGCCUCACCAUUUUUUUAAUAAAAAAUAAUAAAAAGAGUUCGACUUUCAAAGAAAGUCCACCCCAAGCAAUAUAGUUCCCUAAUCCCCGGAUUUGGAUCCCAUCCAAAUCUAAAUUGUGAGGAUUCUAGGGAUCCGCACAUCUUAGUCAUUCAUCGUGCAUCGUGUAGUAAAAAAUCAUCUGACUUUUUUUAUUUAAAAUUAAACACAAUUAGUACCUAACGAAAACUGGCCGCACGAUGUACGAUAAACAACUAGGAUGUAGGGAUCCCUAUGAUCCCCACAAAGUGGAUCCGGAGAUGAUCCUUUUCCCUAAUCCCCAAUUCCUACCCCGCUCAACUAAAGGUCACCAUCAUCAGCACAGAACCAAUCUCUAGUCUUCACACACCAAUCGGCACUUCAAGAUCAACUUGGUAUUUAAAUUCAUUCUAUGCGUUGAAGAAAUGACUUUUCUCAAUUGUAAGGGAUUAGUAAUCUUGCUAAAAAAUGAUGAAAAAAGGGUUACAUGAAUUGUUGUUUGUACAAAAAUUAUGAAUAAAAAGUCGUAAUUUAUCGUUUAAUGUUUCAAUUUUACUUUCAUCUAAUUUUUUGGAGCUUUUUGUGAAACUUUAUAGGCCUAAGCAUGAUCUAUCACCGAUAUGAUCCCAACUUAACCACGUAUGGCUUAGUGUUUGGUUUUAUCCCAAAAUGACUGGUAAUAUUAAGGGUGAAAACUCUUAUAUAUUAAUAGUGUUGCAGUCCUAUUAGAUUAGGAAUUUGAUUGUGUAAAUCCUAACAUAUAUAUGAUAUUCUUAUGUGAUUCUACCAUAUCUCUUAGACUAUAUAUUAUCUUUUUAGAGUUGUAAUCCUAUUGGGGUAAGGAAUUUACCUUCACUACUACUAUAAAUAAAGGCACUAUGGGAUGAUAUAACACACACCUUACAAUUAGACAUCUAUCUCUUCUCUCUCUAUGUGCCGCACCCCCUCUCUCUCUCUGGCAUUCAUAAUUGUUCAAUAAAUUAUUCCUACAAUACAUUAUUAGCACGCUCUUAACGCUACGCUAAAGAGAGUUUAUUCUUCAUUCAGGGGAGUAUUAUGUUUUAAUCAUUCUUUUUAUGAUUAAUUUAUUAUUUUAUUGAAUUGACCUACAUGCUAUUGAUUCAAUUUAAUUUCUUAUUUGUUGAACGUGAUACAACACAUUGGAUAUGCAAUUCCGGAUUUCCGAGAAGCAUGUUCUACAAAUUUAAAGGCUUUUGUUGUUUUAUGCCAAUCAGGUAUAUUUAAAAUAAAUGAAGAUAUUUGAAACGACCAUGAAGCGUGAAAACAUUCCUCAUGAUACAUGAACCACUUAAAAUUAUAUUUACCUUUCGAUAUAUAUAUACGUUUCAUGCAUUAUGCAAUUUUUGUUAUUUGAAAUUUGUGAGUCAAAAAAUUGAAAUAAAUUAGAAGCAAGGGUUUUUUAAACCCUUCAAUGGCGGACGAGGUGGUGUUGUUGGAUUUCUGGCCAAGCCCAUUUGGGAUGAGGCUGAGGAUUGCUCUGGCAGAAAAGGGCAUCGAGUAUGAGUACAAAGAUGAGGACUUGUGGAACAAGAGCCCAUUGGUGCUGCAGGUGAACCCGAUUCACAAGAAGAUCCCGGUUCUCAUUCACAAUGGAAAACCAGCCUAUGAUUCCCUCAUUGCGCUUCAGUACAUUGAUGAGGUUUGGAAUGAUAAGCCUCCACUCUUGCCCUUUGACUCUUACCUCACAGCCCAGGCCAGGUUCUGGGCUGACUUUGUCAACAAGAAGGUGAUUUUUACUCAUUAAUUUACUUAUUUUUUUGGGUAAAAGACUGUUUACCACCCUCUUAUUUCGUGGUUUUCAACAUUUAGUACAUCAAGUUUUUUUCGUCUCAGAGUAAUACCUAAAGUGUAAAUUUUGGGACAGUCUCAUACAUCUGUUAGUCAAACUGUUAGUUCUCCCGUUAAGUGAUGACGUGGCGCUCUGAUUGGACGCCACGUGUCAUUAAAAAAAUAAAAAAUUUAUUUAAAUAAAAAUAAUAUUAAAUAAUAUUAAAAUAAAUAUUAAAAUAUUAAAAUAAUAAUAAUAAUUUUUUUUUUCUUCUUCUCUUCUUCUUUUUUUUUUUUUUUUUCUUCUUCUUCUUCUCUUCUUCUUCUGGUUCGGUUCUUUUUUUUUUUUUUUUUUUUUUUCAUUCUUCCUCCUCCUCCUCCUACUUCUUCCUUCUCCUUCCUCCUCCUUCUUCUUCUCCUUCUUCUUCUUCUUCUGGGUUCGGUUUCUCUCUUUUUUUUUCUCUUUUUUUUCUUCUUCUUCUUCUUCCUCCUCUUUCUCCUUCUUCUUCCUUCUCUUUCCUCCUCCUUCUUCUUCUCCUUCUUCUUCUUCUGGGUUCGGUUUCUCUUCUUUUUUUUUUUUUUUUUUAUCCUUCUUCCUCCUCCUUCUUCUUCCUUCUCCUUCCUCCUCAUUCUUCUUCUCCUUCUUCUUCCUUCUUCUUCCUCUUCUUUUCUGGGUUCGGUUUUUUUUUUUUUUUUUUUCUGUUUUUUUCCUUCUCCUCCUUCCUUCUUAAGAAGGAAGAAGAAGGAGAAGAAGAAUGAGGAGGAAGGAGAAGGAAGAAGAAGAAGGAGGAGGAAGGAGAAGGAAGAAGAAGGAGAAGGAGGAGGAAGAAAAAAAAAAAAAAAAAAAAAAAAAGAGAGAACCGAACCCAGAAGAAGAAGAAGAAGAAAAAAAAAAGAAGAAGAAGAGAAGAAGGAAAAAAAAAAUAUUUUAUUAUUUAAAUAUUUAUUUAAUAUUAUUUUUAUUUAAAUAAAUUUUUUAUUUUUUUAAUGACACGUGGCAUCCAAUCGGGGCGCCACGUCAUCACUUAACGGGAGAACUAACAGUUUGACUAACAGAUGUAUGAGACUGUCCCAAAAUUUACACUUUAGGUAUGACUCUGGGACGAAAAAAACUUGAUGUACUAAAUGUUGAAAACCACGAAACAUGAGGGUGGUAAACAGUCUUUUACCCUAUUUUUUUUGUUGUUUUUUUUAACAAGUGAUAUUAUCUACACUAAAAAGAAGGGGAUAGGUUUAGCCUCACAAUGAGUUAGUAAUAAUUUGGUUCAAAUUCGCCCUUUGCAAGAAUCGAAUCUAAGACUUCUCACUUACAAGUGAAUAAGAAUAUUAUUAGACCAUAGUACAAAGUGGCAAUUUCACAACAUAAUUAAGUUUAGUAUUUUUUUUUCCUUAAAUAUGCUUUUUUUUAUUUUAUUUUAAAAAAAAUCUAUGUUCAAUUUAACAUGAUACUUAAUUUUGUAAGUACCAAUUUGGAAAAAAAAAAUAUUAAAAAAAGGGGUUUUUAAGUACCCACUAUGUUUUGGCUGAAAAGGAACUAACCCAAAAAAAGCUCCAGAUCUGCUGUCUCUUAAAAUGUAUCUAAUAUGAGUCUCCUUGUUAAUAUGUUGACAUGUAUUCUUUAACUUGACUUAAAACUUAACUUUGUUAAUUUUAUUUAUUUAACAUUUAAAUUAAAAAAAAACUAAAAUAAUAAAAAACUGUUGGGUUAACGAGAUGAGCAAAUCCAAAUAGGAUUCUUCACCUUCUUUUUUGGUUUGCUGCAACAAUCGCAAGGAUCAGAAAGAACAAGGCGAGUUUGCUGUGCAUUUUUCUCCUUUGAAACAAUCGUAGUUCCAAAUCUAGCAUCCACACCAACAAACUCACUUGCCUCAACUCCAUCAAUCCAAGUUCGAACUUUUACCAAAACGAAAUUGUUCUCGCUCCCAGGCUUCUUCGAAGCAGAAUCAUCAUCAUGCACUAUAUCCCCGGCAGUGAUAGAGCUCGGAUUACCGACUAGUAGAAUAGUCAAAGCUGAAACAAAAACCAACCCACAAAGCCCCUUUCUUUCUCUCUCUUCCUUCCAUGGCUACAAUCUCUACAAAUCUGUGAUGCAGAGGAGGAAGAACCAAAAGGGUUGUUCUUUCUGAUCCUCGCGAUUGUCGCAGCAAACCAAAAAAGAAGGUGAAGAAUCCUAUUUAGAUUUGCUCACCUCGUUAACCCAACAUUUUUUCAUUAUUUUGGAUUUUUUUAAAUUUAAAUGUUAAGUAAAUAAAGUUAAUAGAAUUAAGUUUUAAGUUAAAGAACAUACGUCAGCAUAUUAAUAAAGAGAUAAAUAAGACACAUUUUAAAUGACAGCAGAACUGGAGCCCCCCAAAAAAGGCACUUUCGAGAAGUUGGUGGAAGCUGAUGGAACUCUCUGUUUUUAUUGUAUUUUUCCCUUCUGGAUUGCUGCAGAACUUUCUGUAGUUCUCAGAGAAACCUUCUGUGCCAUCCUAUAUAUAUACAACUCACUCCCCAACCCUCCUCAUCAGAUAGAAUUAUCCAAAGCAAUCUAAGCAAAAAUCUCUCGCCCAAAUCCUACGAAUUCACACCCAGCAAAAACCCAACUCAAACCCACCAUCUAAUGGCUCUCAGUCUCUUUGGCGGACGACGAAGCAACGUCUUCGACCCCUUCUCUCUGGACAUCUGGGACCCUUUCGAGGGCUUCGGCGCUCUGGCCAACAUCCCCUCAUCCGCCCGUGAAACCACCGCCAUCGCCAACACGCGCAUCGACUGGAAGGAGACCCCGGAGGCCCACAUCUUCAAGGCGGAUCUCCCGGGGAUAAAAAAGGAGGAGGUGAAAGUGGAGGUGGAGGACGGGAGAGUCCUGCAAAUCAGCGGCGAGAGGAGCCGGGAGCAGGAGGAGAAGAACGACAAGUGGCACAGGGUGGAGAGGAGCAGCGGCAGGUUUAUGAGGAGGUUCAGGCUGCCGGAGAACGCGAAACUUGAUCAGGUGAAGGCGGCGAUUGAGAAUGGGGUGCUGACUGUGACUGUGCCGAAAGAGGAGGAGAAGAAGCCUGAGGUCAAGGCCAUUGACAUUUCCGGUUAAACUAAAUUCGCGUAACCUCGAUCGGCUACUUUUGAGCUCUGUUUUGGUGUGGUGUUAAGUUCUGCUUGUGUGUAUUUCCGAGUCUCUCUGUAUGUGAGAUGAGUGAUAUGGCGUGUCAAUUGUCAUGUAUGGGUUCUUAUUCUAAAUAUUAUAAUAAAUCUUUAUAAAAGUUUACAUUAUAUUUCCAAGAAGUGUGUCUGGGAGAAGGUCUAUUUAAUUUGUUUUCCACGAAUAUGAAGAAGAUGACCGUUCAUGGCGCGAUUCUCUUGCUCUUAAAGUCUAGAACUUUAACACCUGCGCAUGGAAUUGACAAAGAUUCUUUCGAUCUUCACAUGUGCUACUGCUAUUGGGAACCAGCUGCUGAGCUCGUGCGUCCUACGAAGGUUGCAGAGGUGUAUCAGGCAAAGAAGAAAGUUAGAGAUACAAAUUUUGUAUGGGAGAAGUAAUGCUCAAGUCGACAGUCCAGCAAAGGCGACAUUGAAGACAUCUUACUUACUCCAAGAGCAUAUGGCGAAUGCUCGAAGUUGCUUAAUUAGGACAUGGUUCUACAGUGGUCGAAAUUCCUAGCUGCUGUUUUUGGUUUAUUUUCAAGGUUAUAUUUUCAAGAGAACUUUAACGAAAAACUUCCAGUACUGUUUACUUUAACGAAAAAUCAUAUUUUUACACUAAAAAAUUAAUCAUGCUAUUAUUCAUUUUACCUUUUAUUUUAUCCUUACUGUUAAAACUCAAAAUUUUUAAGUCAUUUUUAUUAGUUUUUCUUAUUUUCAACUGUUUUUGGUUUGACUCGUGAACAAGGUUGUGUUUGCAAUUUUAAACCGGUGAUUGUUUCUUUUGUUUCUUUUGGUUUUUAGUUUGGAUAUUAAAAGUGUUGUACCGUUUUAAUAUAAAACAAAGCUUUUGAGUACUUCCAUGGUCAUCUUAACCCUGGAUGCAAAACGAGAUUGAUUCAAUCCUAAACGAGAUCAAUUAUUUAAGUGAAAUCAACCGCUGUAUUUUACUUGUAGACUAGAGCUGACAUAUCUUUUGUUGUGAAUUUUAGCAAGGUACAACAAUGCGCCUACACGUAGACACUAGACAUAUGUCCAAGUCAUCCUGCAAUUACUUUAUAGGUAUAGUGAAAUGAUGAUCAAACCCUAAAUUCUAAACCCUAAACCCUAGGGAAAAGUAAUUGAUGACAAAAAUACUGAGAAAUAAAAUUUGACUUCCUUCAGCUUUCGACCUUCCCUAGGUAGAUAUCCAUAUAGUAGCUUUUUCAACUUUGUAUCGGUCGUAUUCUUGAAUUUGGAAGGAAAAGAGGAGUAAUGCUUCCUAGCAUGGGACAUAGAAUAAGACCUAGAAUAAGGCCACUUAGAUUAGAAUAGCAUUCACAGAAAUGUUCUAACAUAGAGUUAAAUCGAACAUUGAAGAGAUUAGUUGGUCGUUAUUGGGACGGGUUCAAACAGGACUGCAAUCAAUAAUAAAAAAAAUAAAAAAUAAAAGAAUGAAGGAGCGGAACCUUCCUUUGACUCAAGCCAACCCCAGGUCAGGACGAGACUUUCUUUGUGCUACCAAUUAGUGAAAUUCUAUCUCUUUCUUACACAACUAAAAAAUGGGCAACAACUCUUGAAUCAAAAGCCUUCUAAGUUAUGCUGAUGAUGGUUAUUUAAACCGUACAAAGCGCGUUUCUAGAACGAUUUAUGUCUUUAAAUUCAUUCUAUGCGUUGAAGAAAUGACUUUUCUCAAUUGUAAGGGAUUAGUAAUCUUGCUAAAAAUGAUGAAAAAAGGAUUACAUGAAUUGUUGUUUGUACAAAAAUUAUUAAUAAAAGUUGUAGUUUAUCGUUUAAUGUUUCAAUUUUAUUUUCAUCUAAUUUUUUGGAGCUUUUUGUGAAACUUUAUAGGCCUAAGCAUGAUCUAUCACCGAUAUGAUCCCAACUUAACCACGUAUGGCUUAGUGUUGGGUUUUAUCCCAAAAUGACUGGUAAUAUUAGGGGUGAAAACUCUUAUUUAUUAAUAGUGUUGCAGUCCUAUUAGAUUAAGAAUUUGAUUGUGUAAAUCCUAACUUAUAUAUGAUAUCCUUAUGUGAUUCUACCAUAUAUUUUAGACUAUAUAUUAUCCUUUUACAGUUGUAAUUCUAUUGGGGUAAGGAAUUUACCUUCACUACUACUAUAAAUAAAGGCACUAUGGGAUGAUAUAACACACACCUCACAAUUACACAUCUAUCUCUUCUCUCUCUAUGUGAUGCACCCCCUCUCUCUGGCAUUCAUAAGUGUUCAGUAAAUUAUGCCUACAAUACAUUAUCAGCACGCUCUUGAUGCUACGCUAAAGAGAGUUUAUUCUUCAUUCAGUGAAGUAUUACGUUUUAAUCAUUCUUUUUAUGAUUAAUUUAUUAUUUUAUUGAAUUGACCUACAUGCUAUUUGUUGAUGCACAAAACCGGAGGGGUCUUGGAACAACGUAAAUCUGACCGUGAAUCUGCAAGAAAUUAAAUAACACAAGAUGUAUCGUGGUUCAUCCCAAUGUUCGGGCUACGUCCACACUGAUAUUGUAUUUCUCUGUUUGUGAGAGGAUUGUGAGGGUGAGAGCCUCUGUAAUGUGAGAGUGAUGCUUCUCUUUAGGGAUCUGAGACCCUUCCGUUUGUGAGGGUGAGGAUACCCCUUUUAUAGACUAAGAGCUCCUCACUUAUUACAUAUUUCCCCCUUCAUUUAUUACAUAAUUACAUUUGAGUCCCCCGAGUAUUUAUACGAGGUCUAAAUACGGAGGCCCUAAGUAUGGUACAAACAGUAGUCCCCCAAGUCUUCAGUCAAGAGAGUCUUUUGGCUAGAGACUUGAAAUUCAGUCCAUGUGUAGGCCGAAGUAACUAGAUGUCGUCUAGGACUGAUACUCGAUAUGAAGCGGUGCUCAAUCUGAAAUAAUGUUCAACUAGAAGUAGCACAUGUUGCAAGGCUGCUCGGUUUGUGGCUUAUGUUGCCUUGGUUGGCUCGGCUUGUGGCGUUGAAGGUGAGGGAGUCCCUUUUAUAAAAUAAGGGCUCGCUCCUCAAUACAUAAGUGAUGGGCUAGAGUUUAUGCUCGCGGCGAGACGGUUGCUCAGCUGGCGACGAUGCUCUCUAAUGAUGGUGAGGGAGUCCCUUUUAUAGAAUAAGGGAUCGCUCCUCAAUACAUAAGUGAUGGGCUAGAGUUGAUGCUCACGGCGAGACGGUUGCUCAGCUGGCGACGCUGCUCUCUAAUGAUGGUGAGGGAGUCCCUUUUAUAGAAUAAGGGAUCGAUCCUUAAUACAUAAAUGAUGGGUUAGGAGUGAUGCUCGCGGCGAGGUGGUUGCUCAGCUGGCGGCGAUGCUCUCUAAUGAAGGUGAGGGAGUCCCUUUUAUAAAAUAAGGGAUCGCUCCUCAGUACAUGAAUAAUGGAUGCUUUCUAAUGAAAGUGAAUGAGUCACUUUUAUAGAAUAACGACUCGCUCCUCAAUACAUAAAUAAUGGGUUAGAGUCCCCCAAGUAUUUUUCAUGAGGCCCAGUUGAGGCCCAAUAUAUGGUACAUAAUGUAGUUCCCCAAGUCUUCAGUCAAUAGGGUCUGUUGGCUGGAGACUUCAAAUUGAAUCCAUGUAUGGGCCGAAGUGGUGGUUGUUCGGAGACGGUAUUUGUAUAUCCUUGUCACACCCCGGACCCGGGGUAGGUGGAAAAUUCGAUCCCAAGUCUGAAACGCGAACUAAAAACUAAAUAAAUAAAAUAAAACGGAAACGGGUUGGAAAAUAAAAUUCUUCUUAUUUAAAAUAACUCAAUAAUUCUUUACAAGGCUAAAUAAAUAAAUACAAAUUCUAGCCUCACAUCUAUCUCGUUUCAUCCCGUCUACCAUUUUGACAGUUUAGUUAGUAAACCUGCAUAACAAUAGAGGGGUGAGCUUCAACAGCUCAGUAGGAACAUAACCUUACCACAGUAAAAUUGACAAUACUAAAUUACGUGUUAUAAAAUCAUGUAAUCAAGUACCAAAUCAUUCUCGAUAACAAUGCAUGAAUGCAAUGCAAAACUCUUCAUCUUUGCCCGUUAAUUCAUAUAAUAAAACACGCGGACCUGCACGUCCCAUACCGUGCAUUUUACCUCUGCAGUGGUGGUUCGAAUGUUUUAAUAUACAAAUUAACCCCAUGUAACUCAAUCAUCCCAAUUUCCCAAACUCUUCGUCGCCAGUCCCGAAUUACCCUUAAAGAAUUUAUGCAUUGUGGGCUCGCCUGAGACCUGGUACCUGCUAAGAGUUUGGCUCAACUACACAAAAGAUAUUUCCAACUACCCUCAUUUCCAGAAUUCCUUCCUCAACACCAAACUUCCAACUAUUCUCACACAUAAGUGAUGCACAAAUAAUCUCAUUUCAUCAUUCACAUGUACCAGAACAUAUUCUCAGCGAAUAUAACUUCACCAAUAAUUUCGUAUCCAAUAACGAGUAAACACACAAGAGCAGUAUUUGUCCAAUUAGUAAACCAUAUCACAUUAAUCAACCAACAAGAUCGAUAAUAAUAUAAUGUUUCACGAAAUUUAAUAAAGCCAAUCUCCGUAAAGGUCUGCCGUAUUUCCCUUACCUAGAGUCCAAAGCAAGCAAACAAUGUCCCUUACCAACACCUCGAUUAAACACAACCAUCGUGGUAACUGGAGUCCCUGAUCCAACAAAUAAACUAUAUCACUGUAUAAUCCCUAUAUCUAACACCCAAUAUAAACUCCUUUAUUUUAGAAUUCCAAUAUUAGGCUUAACAUCACCUUAUCUUAGUUGGACCCUUAAAACAUUUUUCUUUCUUAUUUGGGUCCUAAAAAAUUUCUCAAUUAUAUACAUGCUACCAAGAAGCAUUUGCCCACAAAACAAUUCUAAAAUCACAGUUUUGUCCCAAGCCUUCGGGUAAUAACAAAACUACCCUUAACUUUCAGAGAACUGUAAAAUGGCCCCAAAUCUGAACUUCUAUUUCAGUUUGGUCCCUGUAGGGUGAAUAGUGAUAUUCAUGGCUAUUUUCCAGAUUGGUUCCUCUUGUCUUUCAAUCCAAAACAUGUCUAAACCCAUUUAUCAUGAUCUCUAAGUACCAAAUCACCAUUCAAGUUCACCAAGUUCCCUUAAUUUCGUAACAGCCACAAAAUAUCAAGGUUUAAAAACCAUGAAAUAAUUCUAGGGUUUGCAGCAGCUAGCCCAUAAAGAAUAUAACCUCAAUUCGUUCAGUUAUGCUUCCAAUAAGCUUAAUCCACCAUAAACAACAUUUAAAUUUAAAGAUUAAAGUUUGUGUAGGAAUAAAUCCCAAAAAUGGCAGCUUUCAAAAUCUGCAGUAAAUCCAUAAAUUAUUACUUGAGAUUUGUAAUACUCUUCCCCACGAAAGUGGAAUCAAAUUCGAACUUCCAAAUCAAAAGUUAAGAGAAAAUUGGUGUUUGGUUGAGACAAGGAGAUGAAGCUCAUUGCUUCCUCUUUGCAUCUUUCCGUGAAGAGAAGAAGAAAGACCAUUAGGUCUUUCGAUCCAAUAUAUAGGUGCACUUGCACCGCUUUCUUCAUUUGUGAUCCAAUGUCCACUUGCCACGUUUCAACGUAAUUCUAUCUUCUUCUUAAGGUCCAACUAAAACCUGCCAAGUGGUAGACUUGGCACUUAUUUGAGAACCCGGAUCAUAUCCUUUUGCUGUCACCUUCAGGAGCUGUCAUGUGGUGAUUCGCCAUUGGUCCAGCUUGUAAAUUCAAUUAAAACCUACACUCCGAAAAAUCAUCUAAAAGAUUAUACAAAAUCGCAAUGACGUUCACUACCUUCAUAUGAAAACCUUUUGAAUAAAUAAGCACAACAUAUUUUUUCCAAAUAUUUUUCUUAUUCAAUAAUAAAUUCUUGGGAUAUUACAAUCUUGCACUAAAGCUUUGUAGGUGAAGCUUUGCAAGUGAAGCUUUGAAGCUAGAGCUCUGUAAAUGAAGCUUUCGAAGUUGGAGCUUUUGUAAAUGAAGCUUUUGAAGCUAGAGCUUUGUAAAUGAAGCUUUCGAAGCUGGAGCUCUAUAAAUGAAGCUUUCGAAGCUAGAACUCUAUAAAUGAAGCUUUCGAAGCUAGAGCUUUGUAAAUGAAGCUUUUGAAGCUAGAGCUUUGUAAAUGAAGCUUUCGAAGCUGGAGCUCUAUAAAUGAAGCUUUCGAAGCUAGAGCUUUGUAAAUGAAGCUUUCGAAGCUAGAGCUUUGUAAAUGAAGCUUUUGAAGCUAGAGCUUUGUAAAUAAAGCUUUUGAAGCUAGAGCUUUUGUAAAUGAAGCUUUUAAAGCUAGAGCUCUGUAAAUGAAGCUUUUGAAGCUAGAACUUUUGUAAAUGAAGCUUUUGAAGCUAGAACUCUGUAAAUGAAGCUUUCGAAGCUAAAUUGACAUGAGUGAUGCUCAUGAAUGUUUAUGUUGAUUGACAUGAGUGAUGCUUAUGAAUGUUAACAUGAGUGAUGCUUAUGAAUGUUGACAUGAAUGAUGGUCAUGAAUAUUUAUGUAUGAUUGACAUGAGUGAUGUUCAUGAAUGUUUAUGUAUGAUUGACAUAAGUGGUGCUCAUGAAUGUUUAUGUAUGAUUGAUAUGAGUGAUGCUCAUGUAUAAUUUUGGAGUACUGGACAUACUUUUGAUCACCUGGUUGGUGAUAAUAGCGGCAGGCUGCCGAAUAAUUUUGGGAGUACUGGACGUACUUUUGAUCACCUGGUUGGUGAUAAUAACGGCAAGGUGUCGAAUAAUUUUGGAAGUACUGGGCGUACUUUUGAUCACCUGGUUGGUGAUAAUAGCGGCAGGGUGCCGAAUAAAUUUGGAGCCAUAAGGCUUGGCUCUUUUGGGCAUAUGGCCCUUCGCCAUCCACAUGACAUUGCAGCCCAUUAUUUUAGGCUUGCCUUUUUUUUAUAUUUUAUUUUAUUUUUAUGAUUACCCUCUGAUGGGGUUAUACAGAUGUCUUUGAAAGAUAAGAAAAAUAAAUUACAUCAUUCAAAAAUAAAUCUGACCCUCUGCUCAAUGGGUCACGCCCAUAAUUCUCUUUUCUGCAUGUCAUCACCACAACAAUUAUGUCUGCUUUUUUUUUUUUUUAUCUUAUUUUGCUUUGCUGCUUUUGUUUUUCCCACUUCAUUUCCUGCAACUUUCAAAACGUCAAGGUUGGCAGAGCCCAUCUGCAGACUUGCUUUUGCUUUUUCUUUUCACUUUUAUGGGAGUGGUUGAGCUGUCUGAGGGCCUUUCUUUUUCUUUUGUUGGAUAAGUGCGACAAAGCAUCAAUAUGCUAGCACAUGUGAAUAUCUGGUAAAGCUAAGUCUUUUGUUGGGAAAAGUUAUUCCUUUUGUCUAAGUGGGUUGUUGAAGAUAACCCAUCAUUGCAGCUCCACCACAAGUUUGCAUCUUAGCUUCCAUGCUCGCCGACAGUACCGUAUGGACUGGAUUCCAAUGUUCAGUUGCAAACUCGCAGCCAUUUGGACCGUCACCAGGAAGCCUUGAAUUGAAACACACAUUGUUUUACUGAAAACAGCAACUUUCUCUUCCUCUCCUCAGAAACAACUUAGCACCUAGAACAGAGAGGGAAACAUCCUGCGGACGGCAAGGUCACCGAGAAGCUUGUAACGGAGAGACUUGGCCUGAGCAAUAGCGCACAGCCCUCUGUUGUUAACCUUCUCAACGUAAAGCUCAACGCUGUUUUCUGGAAACUUAAACCUCUUCUGUACAACAGAGGUUAGCUCCCUGAUCCUCAUCCCCUUCUCUCCGAGAACGUUUUGGGUUCAGGUGGCUCGGAUGAUGAUCUGGGUUCGCAUCGGCAUAACCCUAACUUCAACGCCGGAGUAGCCGUCUUCGGCGAGCUCUCUCGUCAACACCUCGUUCAGCUCGGCGAAGAAAACGUCAUUGGCGAUGAACAUUCUGCGGACGGCAAGGUCACCGAGAAGCUUGUAACGGAGAGACUCGGCCUGAGCAAUAGCGCACAGCCCUCUGUUGUUAACCUUCUCAACGUAAAGCUCAACGCUGUUUUUUGGAAACUUAAACCUCUUCUGUACAACAGAGGUUAGCUCCCUGAUCUUCAUCCCCUUCUCUCCGAUAACGUUUUGGGUUCAGGUGCCUCAAAUGAUGAUCUCGGUUUGCAUCGGCAUAACCCUAACUUCAACGCCGGAGUAGCCGUCUUAGGCGAGCUCUCUCGUUAGCACCUCGUUCAGCUCGGCGAAGAAAACGCCAUUGGCGAUGAACUUUCGCUUCUUGCUCAUUUGGGUCGCAGUCGCCAUGGUUGUGGGUGUGAAAGUUGCAGAGAUGGGAUCUGAAAUAUGGUGGCAGGAGAGGAUUCAAGGCCACCUGGGUAUCUACAACAUUGUUCAACUUGAUGCCAAACUGAAAGUACAGGGCCUCACUAUCUCGUUUGCAAUCAUGAAUGACUUUGGUGAUAUAGGAAUACUCAAGUGCAGGCUUACAGGCAUUGAUCAGCAUCACCCCUCCCUGAAUGGCAUCAACCAGAUAUAUAGCAUUUGGAAAUACAAGCUGCAUGAUACAGAGAGUUCCAUGACGACAAAGGUUAACUCCCUUGCAAUCAAAACCAAUGACAAAUGGCCUUUCAGCUGAAAGCUGGGCCAGGCGAAAGAGGAAUGUGAGUCUAUAAAGGAGGAGGUACAGAGGUCAUGCGAUCGGACCAUCCACGCCAAUCUUUAAUUUUGCCUCCAAACCAACGAAACCCUGAUUGUCUCUUAUUCUCUCUCUUCUCAUAUGCUGAUUGAAUGAGUGUGAUUGUAACUGACAAAUAAUGGUAGAGAGAGAAAAAGUUUGUGGUGUUUUGUUUGAAAAGGUGAAAGAGAUCAGAAGCAAAAGUGAGGUAGAGAGAAUUUUGGUUGUCUCUUGGGUUUUGCAGAUCCACGGCGAAGGUGAAAAUUGAGAUAGGACCGACAUAGCUUUUCGUGUCACUUCCCACAGACGACGCCAAAUGUUGAUGCACAAAACCGGAGGGUCUUGGAACAAUGUAAAUCCGACCGUGAAUGUGCAAGAAAGUAAAUAACACAAUAUGUAUCGUGGUUCACCCCAAUGUGCGGGCUACAUCCACAUUGAUAUUGUAUUUCUCUGUUUGUAAAAGGAUUGUGAGGGUGAGAGCUUCUGUAAUGUGAGAGUGAGGCCUCUCUUUGGGGAUCUGAGACCCUUUCGUUUGUGAGGGUGAUGAGGCCCCUUUUAUAGACUAAGGGCUUCUCACUUAUUACAUAUUUCCCCCUUCAUUUAUUACAUAAUUACAUUUGAGUCCCCCGAGUAUUUAUACAAGGUCUAAAUACGGAGGCCCUAAGUAUGGUACAAACACUAUUGAUUCAAUUUAAUUUUUUAUUUGUUGAACGUGAUACAACACAUUGGAGAUGCAAUUCCGGCUUUCCGAGAAAGAUGUUCUACAAAUUUAAAGGCUUUUGUUGUUUUAUGUUAAUCAGGUACGUUUAAAAUAAAUGAAGAUAUUUGAAACGACCAUGAAGCAUGGAAACAUUCCCCAUGAUGCAUGAACCCCUUACAAUUAUAUUUACCUUUCGAUAUAUAUAUACGUUUCAUGCAUUAUGCAAUUUUUGUUAUUUGGAAUUUGCGAGUCAGAGAAUUGAAAUAAAUUAGAAGCAAGGGUUUUUCAAACCCUUCAAUGGCGGAUGAGGUGGUGUUGUUGGAUUUCUGACCAAGCCCAUUUGGGAUGAGGCUGAGGAUUGCUCUGGCAGAAAAGGGCAUCGAGUAUGAGUACAAAGAUGAGGACUUGUGGAACAAGAGCCCACUGUUGUUGCAGAUGAACCCGAUUCACAAGAAGAUACCGGUUCUCAUUCACAAUGGAAAACCAGCCUAUGAUUCCCUCAUUGCGCUUCAGUACAUUGAUGAGGUUUGGAACGAUAAGGCUCCACUCUUGCCCUUUGACUCUUACCUUAUAGCCCAGGGCUGACUUUGUCAACAAGAAGGUGAUUUUUACUCAUUAAUUUACUUAUUUUUUGUUGUUGUUUUUUUUUUUUCAACAAACGAUAUUAUCUACACUAAAAAGAAGAUGGUAGGUUUAGCCUCACAAUGAAUUAUUAAUAAUUUGGUUCAAAUUCGCUAUUUGCAAGAAUCGAACCUAAGACCUCUCACUUACAAGUAAAAAAGAAUAUCCCUAUACCGUAGUACAAGAUGACAAUUUCACAACAUAAUUAAGUUUAGUAUUUUUUUUCUAAAAUAUGCUCUUUUAUUUAUUUUUAAAAAAUCUAUGUUCAAUUUGACAUGAUACUUAAUUUUCUAUGUACCAAUUUGGAAAGAAAAAAAAUUUAAAAAAAAGGGGUUUAUAAGUACCAACUAUGUUUUGGGCCGAAAAGGAACUAACCCAAAAAAAGGGCCUUUCGAGAAGUUGGUGGAAGCUGAUGGAACUCUCUGUUUUUAUUGUUUUUUUUCCCUUCUGGAUUGCUGCAGAACUUUCUGUAGUUCUCGGUGAAACCUUCUGUGCCAUCCUAUAUAUAUACAACUCACUCCACAACCCUCCUUAUCAGUUAGAAUUAUCCAAAGCAAUCAAAGCAAAAUCUCUCACUCAAAUCCUUCGAAUUCACACCCAGCAAAAACCCAACUCAAACCCACCAUCUAAUGGCUCUCAGUCUCUUUGGCGGACGACGAAGCAACGUCUUCGACCCCUUCUCUCUGGACAUCUGGGACCCUUUCGAGGGCUUCGGCGCUCUGGCCAACGUCCCCUCCUCCGCCCGUGAAACCACCGCCAUCGCCAACACUCGCAUCGACUGGAAGGAGACCCCGGAGGCCCACAUCUUCAAGGCGGACCUCCCUGGGAUAAAAAAGGAGGAGGUGAAAGUGGAGGUGGAGGAUGGGAGGGUCCUGCAGAUCAGCGGCGAGAGGAGCCGGGAGCAGGAGGAGAAGAACGACAAGUGGCACAGGGUGGAGAGGAGCAGUGGCAAGUUUAUGAGGAGGUUCAGGCUGCCGGAGAACGCGAAACUUGAUCAGGUGAAGGCGGCGAUGGAGAAUGGGGUGCUGACUGUGACUGUGCCGAAAGAGGAGGAGAAGAAGCCUGAGGUCAAGGCCAUAGACAUUUCCGGUUAAACUAAAUUCGCAUAACCUCGAUCCGCUACUUUUGAGCUUUGUUUUGGUGUGGUGUUAAGUUCUGCUUGUGUGUAUUUCCGAGUGUCUCUGUAUGUGAGAUGAGUGAUAUGGUGUGUCAAUUGUCAUGUACGGGUUCUUGUUCUAAAUAUUUAUAAUAAAUCUUCAUAAAAGUUGGAGUACAUUAUAUUUCCAAGAAGUGUCUCCGGGAGAAGGUCUAUUUAAUUUUUUUUCCACGAAUAUGGAGAAGAUGACCGUUCAUGGCGCGAUUCUCUUGCUGUUAAAGUCUAGAACUUUAACACUUGCGCACAGAAUUGACAAAGAUUUGUUCGCUCAUGACAUGUGCUACUGCUAUUGGGCGCCAGCUGCUGAGCUCGUGUCUCCUACGAAGAUUGCAGAGGAGUAUCAGGCAAAGAAGAACGUUAGAGAUGCAAAUUUUGUAUGGGAGAAAUAAUGCUUAAGUCGACAGUCCAGCAAAGGCGACAUUGAAGACAUCUUACUUACUCCAAGAGCAUAUGACGAAUGCUCGAAGUUGCUUAAUUAGGACAGAGUCCUAUAGUGGUCGAAAUUCCUAGCUGCUGUUUUUGGUUUAUUUUCAAGGUUAUAUUUUCAACUGUUUUUGGUAUAACUUGUGAACAAGGUUAUAUUUUCAAAUUUUAAACUGGUGAUUGUUUCUUUUGGUUUUUAGUUUGGAUAGUAGAGGUGUUGCACCGUUUUAACAGGAUAAAACAAAGCUUUUGAGUACUUCCAUGAUCAUUCUAACCUGGAUGCAAAACAAGAUCGAUUUCACCCCAAAACGAGAUCAAUUACUUAAAGUGAAAUCAAAGUUGUAUUGUACUCGGUACACUAGAGUUGACAUAUCCUUUGUUGUGAAUUUUAGCAAGGUACAACAAUGCGCAUACACAUAAAUACUAGACAUGUGUCCAAGUCAUCCUGCAAUUACCUUAAAGGUACAGUGGAAUGAUGUUCGCCUUCUAAGUUAUGCCGAUGAUGGUAAUUUAAACUGCAACUGUACAAAGCGUGUUUUUAGAACGGGUUAUGUAUAUUCCAUUAGAGAUAUUGUAAUAUUGUGUAUAUCAACCAAACAGGACUUCGUUACUACGUCUUUAAAUCACAUUGAAAUUUUAGCCUAUGCAAAGUAUCGCAUGAAUGAUUUUGGCUGAGGCACGUGAUUGAUCACAUUAGACCUUUAUGUGGUUUUUCUUACAUAGUUGAUGUUCCAAGAACAAUUUAUGAAGACAACAAUGCAUUUAUCGACCAAUUAAAGAAAUGAUCCACCAAAGGCAACAUUACAAAGUAUACCGUCACGAAGUUUUUCUUCACUCAUUGGCAACAAAAGCAUCAGGAGAUCAAAGUUAAGCAAAUCCGAUCCUAAGACAACUAUGCUGACCUCUUCAUGAAGUCAAUACGAAAUCUACUUUUCAAAAGCUUGUUCAUGAAAUUAGACUGCAUAAUCUUUUAAAUUUAUGUCACUGAUAAUUCUCUUGGAGAGUUUUAUCGAACUCAGGAGAGUAUCUUAUAGUAUACUUACAUGAUCUUAACAUACGUUUUUCCUUAUGAUCAAGAGUAGUUUUCCUAUUGAAUUUUUGCUAACUUGACGAAUUUUUUUGAUGAAGUACCUACACUUGACUGGUCAUACGCUUGUGUGUUUUAAUAAUCAUUCUAAAUAUGUGAAAUAUCGCAUCAUGUAUUAACUCAUUUUUUUCCCCGUAAGUCUACUGGUUGUCAGAGCAAGGUUUUUACCGAUAGUUGAGGACAACAAUGCUACUUCUUAAGUUGUACAUACUUAAGUAGGAGUGUUGUGAAUAGAAUCAUUAAUUAGGAACGUGAUUGUGUAAACUAAAAGUAGAAUUCCACAAGGAUUUGGAGAUCAAAUAAUUAUUGGCUUUGUAUUACUUAUAAGGGAAGAAAGUCCAUCAUAAUUAGUAUUAAAAAGUUACAUGCUAGGGGUGAACACACCAUUCUUAUACAUACGAGCCCUUCUCUCUAUGUCGUCCCCUUCCUUUAUCAACGGUCGCGGGUCUGUUGUCCCUAAUUGUGGUGUCUCUUUUCUAAUUUCUCAACACGUGUACCACCCAUUUCACCUAGCCUUCACCCCAUUAAAUUUUUAAGGGACCUAGGUGGUUUCAGGACCACCCCGAUGCUCAGAUAAUUCGUUAUUAGAACUUCUAAGGACCACCCCAGUCUGGGCAGUGAAGGGAAAGAGCAACGGCUACAUACUGUUCUGGCUUUUUGCAAACCAGAAUGAGAGAAGAAGAAGAAGGCCAAUUCUUUUUUAAACGGUAUCCUAGGUCACAUGCUAGUCACAUUGAUUAUUCAAGUAAAGAGUAAUGUUAGGGAGACUAAAUUUGUAAAAAAAAAUUGCAAACUAAAUGAUAUAUCAUCAAUAAGAAAUGAGCAUGUUUAUCAACGCUUAAGUAAUAAUCCAAUCAUUAACUUUCAUAUCAUUUAGUUUAUAAAUUUUGUGUAAAAAUUUAGUUUUCAUAGCAUUACUCUUAAAUAAAACGAUGAGCAUCGAUGUGGUGUUUGAAAACUCAUUCUAGGUCACGUAUGAGAUUGAGAGCCUCACCAUUCUUUUAAUAAAAAAUAAAAAAAGAGUUCGACUUUCAAAGAAGGGUAAAUUACACAAAACUACCUCACUUAUUGGUCGAACCACAAUUUCAUACCCCCAUGUUUUAAAAAUUACAAUGUCAUACCUCAUCUUAUGAAUUUGUUGCAAUGUCAUAUCUCUGUCAGUUUUUUUGUCAAUUUAUCUGUUAAAUGCUGACGUGGCUUGAGGCGAUGCCCACUCCCUAAUCCAACUGGAUUAAAAAAAUUAAUUAAAUAUAAAACAAAUUAAAAAAAAUUCAUUUCAAUUAUUUUGUAAAAAACGUGGGGCCCACCAUGACCCUCAACCUUCUUCCCAGUCUACUAAGAGCAGUUCCACCGGAGGUGGAAUAGCCUAGCACCUAGUCAAAAAACCAGGCUAGGACCCUGUCAAUCUACUCCAGCCCGUGGAAUAGACUGGCACCCAGCUCAAGCCAGUCCACAGGCCGGCCUAAAAUCGACAGAGGAAGGAGACGGCUCAUAUGAUGCCAUGCUAACGUCAUGGCCACAUCUCUCUCAUCUGGAACCCCAUUCGACGCCUAGAACCCCAUCCCGAUCCUUGGAACCCAUCCCGAUGGAGCGAGCGGGCUUGGAGGCGAGGGGGGAGGUUGAGGUUGUUGAGCUUGAUCUUGCAGAAGCAUGGGGAGAAUGAAGGGUGAACGACGGAGCGAGCGGGCUUGGAGGCGACGAGGAUCUUGAGAGCGAGAUUGCCCACUGUGACACGCACAAAUGGGCAUGGAUCCAUUUUUCACCAGCAAAAUAAAAUCAAAGGGGGAAAUGCUAAUGCGCCUAUGCCUCUCUCCCUCUCUCCCUCUCUCAGUUGAGUGUUGGGGCAAAUAGUGUUGUUGCUGCCAUUGAUUUCUGGCAAGUGGGAAGAAGAAGAAGGAGAAGAAGACGACAGGAGUCAGAGAAAAAGGAGUCGGAGAGAAAAGUCAGAAAUUAAAAAACCAAAUUAUUAUUUUAUAGUAAAAAUUAAUAAUAUUUUAAUAAAAUUGACUAGGCUAUAUUUUGUUAGGGGUGGAGAUGUUUUGGUCUAUUACUGUUCACUGUGGUCUAUUACUGUUCAUUUGAGUGGAUAAAUGCGCUGGGUGCUGGCGCAAAGUCUUUAGGGGUGGAAUUGCUCUAAGCCUUCUUUUCCAGUCCACCGACGAUCUCCAUAUCCAUCAUCUGCCACCACACCAUCAUCCCCACCACCACUUCUGCCUUCUUAAUCGUCGUCAAAUCUUAAUUUUCUGGUGCGUCUCUGUCACCGCAUCCAAACAUCGCCAGAACCCUAAUGUCUCUAGGAAAUCGCAACCCCCAGAACCAAGUCGGCUCAGUUUCUGCUGAAAAGCGAUCCGGCGACGUUGAUUGUGUGAUGACGGCCUGAUCAGAAAUGACAAAGCCCUCUCACCAAAUCAUCUUCCACUCCUCCGAUUCUCACCGGCGACGGCCUGGCAGUUAUUGUUCUUGCUGUUGCGGAACUAAUUCUUCACCAAAAUUGAACGAUUGGGAGAUCCAGGGCGGUUCACGAAUCGUACAGAUGACGACAACGGGGAAGGAGAAUGGGCGUACAUGAAGAGGUGCGUAGGGGAGAUGAAACGUGUGAAGAACGUCAACAACCUAGAGGAGAACCUCCAAGAUGUGGACGACGUGAAGCCCGAUAAUGAGGAAGAAAAUAACGGCCCAGCCUCCUUUCCCGAACCCCAAACUAAAACACAAAAAAACCCGAUCGAUUGGUGCUAAGAAUUUGAAAUUUAGGGUUAGGGUUUGGAUGAAAUUGGGGUAUUUUGUAUAAAAUUGGUUACAGGGAUUAAUUUGGUGAGGGUGAUAGGUGUGUAGGAGGGGGAGAGGGAUGAGCGCCAUGGGAGGGAGUUGGAGAUGGAGGAAGAGAAGGGGGAAGUUGCAGAGAGGUGAGAGGGAAGGAAGGGGAUUUUGGUGCGGGUUUGGUUUCCUUUUUUCUUUUCUUUUUUUAAUUUUUUAUUUUUUUUAAUAUUUAGUUAAUUUUUUAAUCUAGUUGGAAUUGAAAAUGGGCCCCAUCUCAAGUCAUGUCAGCAUUUAACAAAGAGAUUGACAGAAAACCUAACGGAGGUCUGAUAUUGUAACAAAUUUGUAAGAUGAGGUAUGACAUUGAAAUGUUUUAAAGACGGGAUAUGAAACUAUGAUUGGCCUAAUAGUUGAGGUAGUUUUAUGUAAUUUAUCCUUCAAAGAAAGUCCACCCCACGCAAAUUAACUCCCUAAUCCCCGGAUUUGGAUCCCAUAUCCAAAUCCAAAUCCAAAUUAUGGUGAUCCUAGGGAUCCUCACAUCUUAGCCAUUCAUCGUGUAUCGUGCGGUCAGAAAUUAUUUGACUUUUUUUAUUUAAAAUUAAACACAAAUAGUACCUAACAAAAACUGACCACAUGAUGUACGAUGAAUAACUAGGAUGUGGGGAUCCCUAUGAUCUCCACAAAGUGGAUCCUGAGAGGAUCCUCUUCCUUAAUUUCCACCAUCAUCAACACAGAACCAAUAUCUUCUCCAGUCUUCACACACCUAUCGACACUUCAAGAUCAACUUGGUAUUUAUAUUUAUUCUAUGAAGAAAUGGCUUUUCUCAAUUGUAAGGGAUUAAUAAUCUUACUAAAAAUGAUGAAAAAAGGGUUACAUGAAUUGUUGUUUGUACAAAAAUUAUGAAUAAAAAGUUGUAGUUUAUCGUUUAAUGUUUCAAUUUUAUUUUCAUCUAAUUUUUUGGAGCUUUUUAUGAAACUUUAUAGGCCUAAGCAUGGUCCAUUACCAAUAUCACUGAUAUGGUCCCAACUUAACCACCUAUGGCUAGGUGUUGGGUUUUAUCCCAAAAGGACUGAUGAUAUUAGUGGUGAAAACUCUUAUAUAUUGAUUGUAUAUUAUUUUGUCAUAUGAUCUAUGUAAGAUCUUAUUCUCCAACACUUUUUUACUAGGACUUCUCGAUAAUAAAUCAUGAAUCCACCACUAUCCCCAUCCACACUUGAGAAUUUCAAACAAGUGGAGCUUUCCAAUUGUCCUUGAUAACAAGAGGAUUCUUGGUUGGGUAAUGUAAAUUCAUGAUAAAGAUGAAACUCAUGUGUUUGCAGCUAGGAUGGUAAAGAGGAUUCCUAGGUAAUUGUUUGGGCCUAAAAUAUUGGUUUGGGCCGAGUUUAGAAUGUUCUCGACUUGGAAGCAUUGUUCAAGGGCCGGAUACAAUAAGGAGUCUCGGUAGGAUGAGGAUGUUGAAAGUUGGGAAUGAAUGCGGCCUGAUAAGGGGUUGAGUUCAAAGUCCUAAUAGGAGUGGAUUGGCUGAGAUAAGAUUGGAUCGGGGUGAAGAGUCCUAAUCCGAGUAUAGGUUUGAUUCGAUCAGAAGAAGGUUUGCAACUAUAAAUAGAGGGAGGGGUACAUCAUUUAAACUCUUUUCAAUUCAACACACAAACUGCCAUGCGGAAAUUCUCGCUCUACGUGAAACCUCUCAACUGUUGGAAAUGUGCCCUAAAGCCAAUCAUGUGAUGAUACUUUACGGACAUUUCACAUGUUAAACUAAUCUAGUUUUACAUAUAAAGGGCAAAGAUUAUUGUUUGAGCCGUCUCAUAUAAAUGUUAUAUGCUUAAACGAUAAAGUCCAAGGAAUAUGUGAUUGGGAGAAUGUAAUCUAAUGAAGUUAGAUUCAUGAGACCAUUCUUUCGUAGACACAUCCUAAACGUUCCUGAUCAUAGGAUUGCCAAUUGGGCGUUGACAGUCCGUUAAGAUCAGUACGUACUAUGUCUUCUCUCAGGGAGAGUGAUUAGUCUCGAAUCAUUGGUGUGUGUGACAUCAAGACAAGUACGGUAGGUGCUCAAUAGAGAAUGAGUUCACUGAACGCGAUCAACGAAGAGUUCUCAUAUUCCAUGUCACGUGAGAACUCAUGGUUGGGAUAAUGCAAAGUAGUCCUUUGACCUGAGGCAUCAUAGUUGUCUUGUGGUUAAGUCCUUGAUCUUUGAUUAUGUCAAAGUCACUCCAUCAGGAGGGUGUCCACGGCAUCGUUGGGGUCAAGCCACUUAUCUAUGGAGACAAGUGAAUGCGCAACAAGGGAUCUCUAACCUUCAAACCGUUUGAGGGAGAAUACUCUCUGAUAUGAUUUGAAUCUCUGGCCAGAGUAUGAAUGAGAUUGAGGAAUGCGUUCCAAAUCACAUUCAAGGUAAUCAUAUAAGCACAAGACACACAUUGGAUAGUAGACAUGAGAAAUAAACUAUCAAACCAAACAAUGUGGUCAAGAGUAUUAGAUUAGAGAAGGACCGUAUUGCAUUUGUAAUCUCGAACUGAAUAGGUUCUCCACCUCUUCUGAUUAGCUUGGAUAACCAUGAUAUGCUGCUAGGUGUCACUCAUGGUUUGUGGAAGCCCUAAACGUGUGUAAUCACUAAAGGGAGAAUUGAAAAUAGUUUCAAUUCACAAUCGAUGUAAAAUGGUUUUAAUCGCCCACUACCUCGCUAAAAGGAACCUAAUGGAUCGCACACCAUAAAAGGUAGAGAUUGGAGAUUAAACGGAAAUGAGUAAGAAUGAUUAAAUGGUUUAAUCAUUUAUUUAUGGCAAGGAUUAAUUAAUAUGUUAAUUAAUCAAACGAAUAAGUUCGUUAAAUGACUUCGGGAUAGUUUUGGACCUUAAGGCCCAAUGGGCUUCGAACGUCAAGCCCAUUAACUUAAGUUGUAUGACAAUUUAAUGAAUAAAGAUUCAUUAAAGCCCAAAAGCCCAAAAUCCCUAAAUGUAUAGCCAUAUGGAAUGAAUUAGGGUUUUGGUUAUUUAGGUCACUUCAAGAAGUGACUAUAUAAAUGACUUUAUAGCCAAAUAUUCAUGAGGGAUUAAAAGGUUUUAUUUUUGGGGAAAAUUGGUGAGAAUUGUCUCUCCAUUUUCUCUCUAAAGAGGCCAACACCUUGGAGGGUACAUCUAGCAAUCCUACUACUCCAAGGUCACUCAUUUCUACAAUCUAACCUUGGUGAAGAGACUUAGAGGUUCUCAAUUUUGGGAACUUGGAGAACCUAUUCUUCCAUCCAAAUCCAUGGAUCUAAGAAGCAAGGAAUGAAGGCCCUAUCUCUUUGGGUGAUUAGCCUUUGCUUAUGCAAAGAGGAAUCUACAAAGGUAUUAAUUUCAACUCACUUUGUUUUGAGUUGAUUAUUGGUUCACCAAUCUACUAGGCUUUGAAUUUCAUGGUAAUGUUUUGUUUUUGAGUGCAUACAAGCAUGAUUCCGCCUUUAAUUGUUAAUUGCAUGCUAUAUGAUGUUGCUCAAAUGAACAUGUUUUCCCAAAAGAUUUCCUUCAUCAACAACCUUGAGAUUUUUAUUUUCUUUUUCGCCGACACAUCUUCAGUUUGGAUAAACAGCAUUAUCACCGUAGAACCAGCCGACAACGGAACCCCUUCAGUUUGGAUAAACAGCACUGCGUCGAGGCCAACUGGUUAUCUAUCCAAGUCUCGGUCGAGAAAGACUUUCAGGUCUUUAUUGGCAGAGGUCAUCUCAUUAGCCUUUUUGGUGAGGUGAGGUGUUACAGUCUACUAGGGCUCGGUACAUUGAACGCCGAGUUGUUUUAUGAUUGGAUACUCACAAGUAAGCUUUAGAGUUCGGCAUUCUAAUGGCCGAACCACAUUUACCAUCAAGACAUAUAUCUGUUUUGAGUAUCUGUUCCCCUAUACUCUGGUGUCGAUUCGGUGUGCUUAUACCCUUACAAAUAUAAUCACUGUGACCGAAUCCGGCGCCGACAAUUUAUGAACUUCAUAAAAUUAGCAGCCUUGUCUUCAGGCUAUAGAACCCAAAGGCCGGGACGUGUUUCUUCCUUGGUCGCAGUCGCAAAAUCGAGAAGUCAGCCGCACGCUUAACGCAACAUCAACACAUUUUACUCUUGGGCCAAGCUCAGCCGACAAGUUGGCAUGCCCCGCAUCAACCGAAUGACGUAGUUAGCUCAUUAGUUACUCAGCUUGUGCGCCACGUAGGCUUGGUAGUUUUUAGGGUCAACAGUAAUGUAACCUUCAUGAUUAACAUGAAAUUGUAAUGUAUUAUAGUGAAAGUAUGGUUAGUCGAAUGCAAUUAGGUCUGUUAUACUGUUAGAAUUUAGGCUUUAAUUUUCUAGGAGAUGAGGCAGUGAAGGUUACUAAGAACACAGAUCCUAUCCUAAUCUGUGCAACCAGAGCCCGGAGAUCUCUCUAAAAGUUAUAAUAAUUAUAGCCGUUAUAUCAAAUUUCAGCGGUCCGAAUCCAUUGAUCCCCGGGCUCUAGUUGCACAAAUCCGGAGAGGAUAUGUGUUCGGUUACUAAGGAGAUGAUCUAUGUUCGGUUACUAAGACUCGUUGGAUACUAGUUUCUCUAAUUUUGUUUAUAGCUUUUAUUUUUUAGGAAAACUAAUGAAAAUGGCUUGAAAACCUUAAGUUUUAAUGAUAAUGACAAAAUAAAUGGUUAAGUGAAUAGUACAAUAAUUGACUUUUUAGUGUAAAAAUGUAAUUUUUAGUUAAAAGAAACAGUACAGCGGACUUUUCGUUAAAACUUCAUUUUCUUCUUUUUUUUAUAUUAAAAAUCAACAUAAUUAAAUUUGAGAUUAAGUGUUUAGAUACAUGUAAGAAAUAAGCGAAGAGACAUAAAAAACUUCAAAUUGGGGACAUCAAACCCUAAGUCAUCUCUCACCCACUUAAAAUUAGUUUGACAACAGCCAUUUAGUACUACGGUCUAAUGAUAUUCCUCUUUAUUUGUAAAUAAAAAAAUUUAGAUUCGAUUCUCGUCAAAGGCGAACUUGAAUCACAUAUUGCUAACCCAUUGUGAGGCUUAACCCACUCUUCCACUUUUUUGAGUAUAGAUAAUAUCGUUUGUUUAAAAAUUAGUUAGACAACAUAAUUGAGUUUAGUAUUUUUUUUUUUUCUUAAUUAACAUGGUACCUAAUUUUAUAAUACCAAUUUGGAGUCUUUUUAUAAGUAACAAUUAUGUUUUGGGCCGAAAAGGAACAAACCCAAAACAAGGCACUUUCAAGAAGGUGGUAGAAGCUGAUGGAACUCUCUGGUUUUUUUUGUUUUAUCCCUUCUGGAUAGCUGCAGAACUUUCUGUAGUUCUCAGAGAAACCUUCUGUGCCGUCCUAUAUAUAUACAAGUCACUCCGGUACCCACCCAAUCAGAUAGAAUUAUCCAAAGCAAUCUAAGCAAAAAUCUCUCACUCAUAUCCUUCGAAUUCACAUCCAGCAUCUAAUGGCUCUCAGUCUCUUUGGCGGACGACGAAACAACGUCUUCGACCCUUUCUCUUUGGACAUCUGGGACCCAUUCGAGAGCUUCGGCCCUCUGGCCAACUUCCCCUCCUCCGCCCGUGAAACCACCGCCAUCGCCAACACCCGCAUCGACUGGAAGGAGACCCCGGAGGCUCACAUCUUCAAGGCGGACCUGCCGGGGAUCAAAAAGGAAGAGGUGAAAGUGGAGGUGGAGGACGGGAGGGUGCUGCAGAUCAGCGGGGAGAGGAGCCGAGAGCAGGAGGAGAAGAACGACACGUGGCACAGGGUGGAGAGGAGCAGCGGCAAGUUUAUGAGGAGGUUCAGGCUGCCAGAGAACGCGAAGCUUGAUCAGGUGAAGGCGGCGAUGGAGAACGGGGUGCUGACUGUUACUGUGCCGAAAGAGGUGAAGAGGCCUGAUGUCAAGGCCAUUGACAUCUCCGGCUAAACUAAAUUCGUAUAACCUCGGCUACUUUUAGGUUUAAUGUCAUAAUUAUGUUAAAUGAUCAUGGUUUGUUGACAUUGUUGUGGUGUCAGCUCCUGCUUUUUGUUCUUGUAUUUCAGUGUCUCUGUGUCAAUUUUCAUGUAUGGUUUCUGCUUGUGAAAUAUUAUAAACCUUAAUAAGGGUUUUGAGUACACUUAUUUUAAUUCAAUCAAUUCAAAUUAACUCAUAAUUUCAAUGAAAAAACAAUUGCAAAAUUAUCUAUCCUACCGGGAAGAGUGGAGAUGCAAGAAUCGGACGGAGGUACGUGUCCGUCUUUUCUUCCUGGUCGCGCUUCCUCACCCCACUGAUCUGGAGGAUCCGACCAUCCUCCACAUGAACCUUCACCAUCUCCUUCCGGAGCCCCGGCGCGUCCGAAUCAUACGGAUGACGACGACUGGGAAGGAGAGUGGGCGUACAUGAAGAGGUGUGUAGGGGAGAUGAAGCGUAUGAAGAACGUCGACAACCCAGAGGAGAACCUCCAAGGUGUGGACGACGCAAAGCCCGAUGAUGAGGAGGAAAAUAACGGCACGGCCUCUUCUCCCGAACCCCAAACCAAAACACAAAAAAAUCCGAUCGAUUAGUGCUAAGAAUUUGAAAUUUAGGGAUAGGGUUUGGAUGGAAUUGGGGUAUUUUGUAUAAAAUUAGUUACAGGGAUUAAUUUGAUGAGGGUGAUGGGAGUGUAAGUGGGGGAGGGGGAGGAGCCCCAUGGGAGGGAGGUGGAGAUGGAGGAAGAGAUGGCGGGAGUUGCAGAGAGGUGAGAGGGAAAGAAGGGGAUCUGGGUGUGGGUUUGGUUUUUCUUUUUUUUUUCUUUUUUAACAUUUAGUGAAUUUUUUAAUUUUUUAAUCUAGUUAGAAUUGAAAGUGGGCCUUAUCUCAAGUUAUGUCAGUAUUUAAUAAAGAGAUUGACAAAAAACCUAAUAGAUGUCUGAUAUUGUAACAAAUUCGUAAAAUGAUAUAUGACAUUGAAAUAUUUUAAAGACGGAAUAUGAAACUAUGAUUGGCCUAAUAGUUGAGGUAGUUUUGUGUAAUUUACCCUUUAAAGAAAGUUCACUCCACGCAAAUUAACUCCUUAACCCCCAGAUUAGGAUCCCAUCCAAAUCCAAAUUAUGGGGAUCCUAAAGAUCUUCACAUCUUAAUCAUUCAUCGUGUAUUGUGCGGUCAGAAAUUAUUUGACUUUUUUAUUUAAAAUUAAACACAAAUAGUACCUGACAAAAACUGACCACACGAUGUACGAUGAAUGACUAGGAUGUGGGGAUCCCUAUAAUCUCUACAAAAUGGAUCCUAAGAGGAUCCUCUUCCCUGAUCUCCACCAUCAUCAGCACAAAGCCAAUCUUUUCUCCAGUCUUCACACACCUAUCGGUACUUCAAGAUCAACUUGGUAUUUAUAUUCAUUCUAUGCAUUGAAGAAAUGGCUUUUCUCAAUUGUAAGGGAUUAGUAAUCUUACUAAAAAUGAUGAAAAAAGGGUUACAUGAAUUGUUGUUUGUACAAAAAUUAUGAAUAAAAAGUUGUAGUUUCGUUUAAUGUUUCAAUUUUAUUUUCAUUUAAUUUUUUGGAGCUUUUUGUGAAACUUUAUAGGCCUAAUCAUGGUCCAUCACCAAUAUCACCGAUAUAGUCCCAAAUUAACCACAUAUGGCUAGGUGUUGGGUUUUAUCCCAAAAUGACUAAUAAUAUUAGGGAUGAAAACUCUUAUAUAUUGAUUGUAUAAUAUUUUGUCAUAUGAUCUAUGUGGGAUCUUAUUCUCCAACAUUUUUUUAUUAGAACUUCUCGAUAAUAAAAUCCUAAAUCCGCCACUGUCCUCAUCUACACUUGAGAAUUUCAAAUAAGUGGAGCUUUCCAAUUGUCCUUGAUAACAAGAGGAUUCUUGGUUGGGUAAUGUAAAUUCAUGAUAAAGAUGAAACUGUAAACACCUAGUCGUGUGUUUGCAGCUAGGAUGGUAAAGAGGAUUCCUAGGUAAUGUAAACUUCAUGAUUAACAUGAAAUUGUAAUGUAUUAUAGUGAGAGUAUGGUUAGUCGAAUGCAAUUAGGUCUGUUAUACUGUUAGAAUUUAGGCUUUAAUUUUCUAGGAGAUGAGGCAGUGAGGGUUACUAAGAACACAGAUCCUCUCCUAAUCUGUGCAACCGGAGCCUGAGGAUCAAUGGAUCCGGGACAUUGAAAUUGAAUCCAACGGCUAUAUUAUUAUAACUUUGAGUUUUAACGAUAAGGACAAAAUAAGAGGUAAGUGAUUAGUACCAUGAUUGAUUUUUUAGUGUAAAAAUGUAGUUUUUAGUUAAAGUGAACAGUACCACAGACUUUUCGUUAAAACUCCAUUUUCUUUUCUUUUUUUUAAUUAAAAAUCAGCAUAGUUAAAUUUGAUAUUAGGUGGUUAGAUACGUGUAAGAAAUAAGCGAAGAGACAUAAAAAACUUCAAAUUGGGGACAUCAAACCCUAAGUCAUCUAUCACCUACUUUAAAAUUAGUUUGACAACAGCCACUUAGUAUUACGGUAUAGUGAUAUUCCUCUUUACUUGUAAGUGAAAAGUUUUAAGUUCGAUUCUCCCCAAAGGCGAACUUGAAUUACAUUAUUGCUAACUCAUUGUGAGGCUUAAUCCACUCUUCCACUUUUUUAGUGUAGAUAAUAUCGUUUGUUUAAAAAUUAGUUAGACAACAUAAUUGAGUUUAGUUUUUUUUUUCUUAAUUAACAUGAUACCUAAUUUUAUAAAGGAAAACUAAUGAAAAUGGCUUGAAAACUUUGAGUUUUAAUGAUAAGGACAAAAUAAAGGGUAAAAUGAAUAGUACCAGAAUUGACUUUUUAGUGUAAAAAUGUGGUUUUUCGUUAAAGUAAACAGUACCGGGUGCUUUUCGUUAAAGUUCCCAUUUUAUAAUACCAAUUUGGAGUCUUUUUGUAAGUACCAAUUAUGUUUUGGGCCGAAAAGGAACUAACCCAAAAAAAAGCACUUUCAAGAAGGUGGUAGAAGCUGAUGGAACUCUCUGGUUCUUUUUUGUUUUAUCCCUUCUGGAUAGCUGCAGAACUUUCUGUAGUUCUCAGAGAAACCUUCUGUGCCGUCCUAUAUAUAUACAAGUCACUCCGGUACCCACCCCAUCAGAUAGAAUCAUCCAAAGAAAUAUAAGCAAAGAUCUCUCACUCAAAUCCUUCGAAUUCACACCCAGCAAAAACCCAACUCUAAUCCGGCAUCUAAUGGCUCUCAGUCUCUUUGGCGGACGACGAAACAACAUCUUCGACCCCUUCUCUCUGGACAUCUGGGACCCAUUCGAGGGCUUCGGCCCUCUGGCCAACUUCCCCUCCUCCGCCCGUGAAACCACCGCCAUCGCCAACACCCGCAUCGACUGGAAGGAGACCCCGGAGGCUCACAUCUUCAAGGGGGAC